UCUCUGUCCUGAUAUCCAGAAGCUCUUUGUUUAAUCCGAGGUGAGUGAUCGCUGUCCUGAUAUCCAGAAGCUCUUUGUUUAAUCCGAGGUGAGUGAUCGCUGUCCUGAUAUCCAGAAGCUCUUUGUCUAAUCCGAGGUGAGUGAUCGCUGUCCUGAUAUCCAGAAGCUCUUUGUUUGCCGUAAGAUAUUUUUUGCAGAAACAUUACAAAAUAAGUUACAAACAACAACAAAAAACACAAUUGGUUGGAUGCCCGUAAAACUGCUGCCAUUUCUUCCGGUGCCAUCCUCGCCAGCUUCACUCGGGUACGGAGGGACUCCACAUCAAGAAACACAAGAAUAGACACAAGCUCCACUCCAAGAAUACUCCUCAGCUCCUCAAUACCCACUUUCUCUGAGACUCCAGCAAUUACUCCCUUGACAGGUGCUCUUCUCUUCAGCUUAAAGCAUGAUACAGCAUGGUCAUCAAUUCGCCUGAUACCCAACAGACUCCUCCUCUGUUCAGCGGAAACACAAAGAAAUCAAGAUCAACUCACUCCUCGUGACCCUCAUCGACUCCACUUUACCCACAUCUCUCUCCACUAUUUUGGAUACUUCCAACAGAUAUGGCAAUCCAAUUGUCCCAGAAACUGGACUCCAGCCAGACACCAGGUAUUCUCCACACUAGGUAGGAGUCUUCCUUCCCAUCCCAACUUUGCUUAUUUCCCCAUUAUUUUGGACAGAGGUCCAUUCUUCCUUACUUCCACCGCCAUCCGAUUCAUAUUCCACAUCCUUCCUUCCUCCGAGUUCUGGUGACCUCGACUCCUAACCCGUCCGGUCUCCAUAAACCUCUGCCCGGAGUCUUUGACACUCAACCAAAUGAGAACUGCUCGUCGUGGGAACCUCCCUAUGACAUCAUCUUUUGGGAGCUGUAAAUGAGGAGACCAAAACUGGUUGCAAGUGUGGGUGAAUUUAGCGCCCUAUUGAUGGUUUAACAAGACAUCACAUGGCGAUAAUAAGAAUCCUGCCUUAUAACAGGCUGACUACACUGUUCGCAUCGCGUGCGUUGCAAAAUACAAUUAGAAAUCUAUAUUAUUCAAUUAUUGCACCCACACUGCUCGCGUCUGUGUUACCAAGGGCUAAAAUAGAAGUCAGUUCUAUUUCUGAUGCAGAUCGCGCUGCAAGUCCUGCCUCUCCCAUCUCCUCAUUGGUUUAUAGAAGCAGGUACCCACGUGCCAUCUCCUCAUUGGUUAUACGCACGUGGGUGACUGAAAGAUGAACGAGGUCGGUGGCGGUAAUGCACCUAAUUUAUGAAAGUUGCCAAUUGCAAUAUAAAGUCCAGAGAAGAAAAGGCCUGGAAUUUUAUGUGUGUUUUAUGUGUGGAUUAAUUGUCGGAGUAGAGGACCUUGUACAUUUCAGGUAAAAUAACAACUCAAUGUUUAUAUUCCAGGACAAAUUAGCUAGCAACAGCAAGCUAGCUAAAUAGGACAAAUUAGUUAGCAAGUGCAAGCUAGCUAGCUAAAUUGCCACAAAGGUUUAAUGCUUUUCGUCCUGUCCCCAAAUUAAUGUAAUUGGUUCAGAGUUUGUUUUGAUAUUUUGACCUGCGUGUCGUGAUCGCGUUUGGUGUAGGGGCAGAAAAUACAAGAAGACACUUCUGAGAGCAGUCUUGUUUCCCACUAAUGCGAUACAGCUUCUACAUCGGGAUGUUUCUUUCCCACGUGUCCUUCACCGGGGAGGCCGUUACACCUUAACGGUGUUUUAAUCUGAUUUAUUGGCAGACAGAAGUCCCCGCUUGGGAUAACAUUUUCCAGACGAAUAACUUCCCGAAAUGUAAAUAGAAAGUUUAUUUUAUUUACAAAAUGAUGUUAAAAUGUGGGAUGUGAUAGCUAUUCGCUAGAUGGCCGAUCUCAUACCUGCUUAUCAGCAGUUUAGAGAUGAACAACUAAACUAUCUAAUCGUAGAUUCAGCGAUGUGUCAAUUGUGAAAACCCGGACAGUUUUUAAAUGAUGAAUUGGUAACUUGCUACCCAGCUAAAAGACAUGUAGCAAAUCGUUUCCCCCAUUUGUUUUCAGGGACUAAAGUGGGCACCUGAUUGCAUUUCACUUCAUUGCAUUGGUUUGGAAGGAGAAAACAGUCCUGCCCGACUCAUUUGGAGGUAAGACAUUUUAACAUCUGAUGGAGAAAAAAACUAAUGCAGUAUCUGUUCACCUAGCUAAAUGUCUCUUCCCCUAUUGUGUUGGACCAUUGCGGUUCGUGCUACUAGUUAAAAAAUUAUAGGCUAAGUUAUUCUACUCUUACUGUAAACAACUUGACCAAGUCUAAAAUAUGCAAAACUGUUAACAUGAUGAUUGCACAGUAAUAAAUGCAGUUGUGGCUUCAGCAACUUGAACCAGCACUAAAAUGUGAGGUUAAUUUCUCCCCUCGUCUCUGCUUGUUCCAGGUUGAAGGAUAUCCCACCCUGUCACUCUGUAGAUGUAAACACCUUGUUGUGAACCACCCGGCCACAAGGUUAAUCACCAUAUCCCAGGGUAUUAUUCAGGAGCGUGUGACAUCACAAUGUUAGAGAGAAAUAGAUGCACCCAUGUUGUUGUUUAUCAUGCAGAUUUGUCAGGACCUAGUAACUUAUGAAGCUCAUUCUAAUAUACAGAUGUGAUUUCUGUCCCAGAGGAUUUGAACUGUGUUCAAGUCUUCAAUUUAGACCACAAUUAGUUGAAUUAGGUGUUAGUGAAGAGCUGGUACAAAAACCUGUGAAACUCCUGUCCCAUCAAAACAAAAUGGCUGUCAUAACUACAUUUGCACUCAUGUACUGAACAAGUUUAUGAGUGUUGGGAGUUCAUUUCCUUGAGAUGUCCCUCAGUUGGGAAAUAUUUUCUACAAUGGACUGUGUUUAAAGGACUCAUGCACACAGGAAAACCAAUAAACAUUUGCAUUUUUUUUAAAUUGAAAAUGCCUAGUGUUGAUGUCUCCACGUGUUUCUGGUUCUGAGGCAGUUAAACCCACUGUUCCUAGGCUGUCAAUGAAAGGCGGGGUCAUCUGGGGUCUGCAGGUCAUCCAAUCAAUGAGAGAGAAGGGCAUCAAUGAUAUUACAAUGUGGCAGGGUAGCCUAGUGGUUAGAGCGUUGGACUAGUAACCGGAAGGUUGCAAGUUCAAAUCCCCGAGCUGACAAGGUACAAAUCUGUUGUUCUGCUCCUGAACAGGCAGUUAACCCACUGUUCCUAGGCUGUCAUUGAAAAUAAGAAUUUGUUCUUAACUGACUUGCCUAGUUAAAUAAAUAAAAUCGAGGAUUAUAUCAUUUAAUAUAUGUUCCUGUUUUGAUAUGCAUUUAUAAUUAUAUUGGACAUGUUAUCCGUUAUCACAUGCCAGUAUGUGUUUCGUAUCCCAGUGCAUGUAGCUCACAUUAGGAUGAAGUAGCCUAGGCCUUCUGAUGCCUAGGCCUUCUGAUGCCUAGGCCUUCUGAUGCCUAGGCCUUCUGAUGCCUAGGCCUUCUGAUG
This is a long non-coding RNA of Oncorhynchus tshawytscha (Chinook salmon), 3467 nucleotides long. The record is from Ensembl. NCBI's taxonomy places the organism in Eukaryota, Metazoa, Chordata, Actinopteri, Salmoniformes, Salmonidae.